AGAGUUUGAUCCUGGCUCAGGAUGAACGCUGGCGGCGUGCCUAAUACAUGCAAGUCGAGCGAACAGACGAGGAGCUUGCUCCUCUGACGUUAGCGGCGGACGGGUGAGUAACACGUGGAUAACCUACCUAUAAGACUGGGAUAACUUCGGGAAACCGGAGCUAAUACCGGAUAAUAUAUUGAACCGCAUGGUUCAAUAGUGAAAGACGGUUUUGCUGUCACUUAUAGAUGGAUCCGCGCCGCAUUAGCUAGUUGGUAAGGUAACGGCUUACCAAGGCAACGAUGCGUAGCCGACCUGAGAGGGUGAUCGGCCACACUGGAACUGAGACACGGUCCAGACUCCUACGGGAGGCAGCAGUAGGGAAUCUUCCGCAAUGGGCGAAAGCCUGACGGAGCAACGCCGCGUGAGUGAUGAAGGUCUUCGGAUCGUAAAACUCUGUUAUUAGGGAAGAACAAAUGUGUAAGUAACUAUGCACGUCUUGACGGUACCUAAUCAGAAAGCCACGGCUAACUACGUGCCAGCAGCCGCGGUAAUACGUAGGUGGCAAGCGUUAUCCGGAAUUAUUGGGCGUAAAGCGCGCGUAGGCGGUUUUUUAAGUCUGAUGUGAAAGCCCACGGCUCAACCGUGGAGGGUCAUUGGAAACUGGAAAACUUGAGUGCAGAAGAGGAAAGUGGAAUUCCAUGUGUAGCGGUGAAAUGCGCAGAGAUAUGGAGGAACACCAGUGGCGAAAGCGACUUUCUGGUCUGUAACUGAC
This 754-nucleotide ribosomal RNA is filed under the name uncultured bacterium. Its description in RNAcentral is "bacterial SSU rRNA". It matches the Rfam family "Bacterial small subunit ribosomal RNA", at positions 8 to 744 of the family's 1533-position model. The record is from RNAcentral.